GCGUGCGCCCUGGGGCCGAAGUCGGGGCGCGCCGCGGCUCGAGCGCGGAGAGCGGCGGGCGGUGCAGCCAAUGGGAGGCGGCGCUGCCUGGCGGCUGGUAGGCGGGGCCUGCGCGGGUGUGAGGUUAGCGCGAGGCGUGACCUAGUUGACAGGCUCUGAGGUGCUGCUGUGGCGGCGGCUGCGGGGCUGAGGCGGGUGGGGAGCCUGAGCCGAGCGCGGGCUGAGGGAGGAGGGCGGCGAUUGGAGAGCGGCGCGCGGCGCGGGACGCGGAGCCCCUGUCACUUUUUCCCUUCCCGAGUGCCCCCUCCCACUCCACACACACCCUGUUUGCCCGUGAGCCUGGGGAACUUGCACCUUAAAGCCAGCCACCCCCACGGCAGCAUGUACCCCAGCAACAAGAAGAAAAAGGUGUGGAGAGAGGAGAAAGAACGUUUGCUGAAGAUGACCUUAGAGGAGAGACGCAAAGAAUACCUAAGGGACUAUGUUCCUCUGAGCACCAUUCUAUCGUGGAAGGAGGAGGUGAAGGGCAAGAGCCAAAAUGAUGGAUGCAUCUCUAAUGGUUGAAGAAGUGGUGGAGGAUGGCAUGGGAGAGAGUGCCUGAGGAUCCUUGCCUGAGACAAGUUAUGGAAAGAAAAUUUUACAGCUUUGGCACUAGGAAAAGAGCCCUUUUAUCCCAUCUUGUCUUCCAGUCCAUUUUGAAUCAAGAAAGACCCAUUGAAGACUCCUUUGAGAAGAGUCUGUUUUGAAGAAGGAAAAAGAAAUACUGUUUGAGAGAAGGCAAACAGACAAAAAGGGUGAUAGAAAUGUGUAUUUUUGUUGUGUAUAUAACACCGAGAGACCUUUCCAGAGUGAACAUAGAGAACUGAGAAGGGAGUAAAUUAAGGAAUGACUGAAUUUUGUGGGUCUUGAUGGAAAAAUGUUGAUCAUCUUCUAAUGUGAAAAAAACAGUGCUUCAUUCCAAGGACUUUUUGUCUCUGCUGUGUGCAGUUGUCAUAAACUCUUCUCACAUUCAAAACUACCCCUUUGUCCUCUGUGAAUGAUGGCACUCUUGCUUCUAUUCCAGCAGUGCUUCCAAGGAUGAAUGAAAAUAUAUAGCAUUUGCCAAAACCUAAAAAGUACAGUCUGUUUAUUUAUCACUAGAGCUUUGUAAAGUACUUCUCUUGCAUUUUAAAAUUCUUUAGUGCUCAAAACCAACCAUUGUGGGUUUUUGUCAAUAAAUAUUAAUUUUUCAAGAUGAA
This is an RNA transcript of Carlito syrichta (Philippine tarsier), 1238 nucleotides long. RefSeq lists it as uncharacterized. NCBI's taxonomy places the organism in Eukaryota, Metazoa, Chordata, Mammalia, Primates, Tarsiidae. The record is from RefSeq and is a predicted model, not a curated record. The transcript has 4 exons.